This is a non-coding RNA of Yarrowia lipolytica CLIB122, 74 nucleotides long. The record is from the annotation of a RefSeq genome assembly. NCBI's taxonomy places the organism in Eukaryota, Fungi, Ascomycota, Dipodascomycetes, Dipodascales.
UCCGAUAUAGUGUAGGGGCUAUCACAUCACGCUCUCAUACCGUGGAGACCGGGGUUCGAUUCCCCGUAUCGGAG